Molecule: ribosomal RNA, 446 nt
Filed under: uncultured bacterium
Lineage: Bacteria
Description: partial 16S ribosomal RNA
Rfam family: Bacterial small subunit ribosomal RNA
Source: RNAcentral
CCUACGGGUGGCAGCAGUCGAGAAUCAUUCACAAUGGGGGAAACCCUGAUGGUGCGACGCCGCGUGGGGGAAUGAAGGUCUUCGGAUUGUAAACUCCUGUCAUGUGGGAGCAAAUUAAAAAGAUAGUACCACAAUAGGAAGAGACUGCUAACUCUGUGCCAGCAGCCGCGGUAAUACAGAGGUCUCAAGCGUUGUCCGGAAUCACUGGGCGUAAAGGGUGCGUAGGCGGGUUCGUAAGUCGUGUGUGAAAGUCGGGGGCUCAACCCGCGGACGGCACAUGAUACUGCGAGACUAGAGUAAUGGAGGGGGAACCGGAAUUCUCGGUGUAGCAGUGAAAUGCGUAGAUAUCAAGAGGAACACUCGUGGCGAAGGCGGGUUCCUGGACAUUAACUGACGCUGAGGCACGAAGGCCAGGGGAGCGAAAGGGAUUAGAUACCCCAGUAGUC